AGAGUUUGAUCAUGGCUCAGGACGAACGCUGGCGGCGUGCCUAACACAUGCAAGUCACGGGGGGUGGCAAUACCAACCGGCGAACGGGUGCGGAACACGUGAGCAAUCUACCGAUUACUGGGGGAUAGCCGGCCCAACGGCCGGGUAAUACCGCAUACGCUCAAGAGGGGACAUCCCCAUUUGAGGAAACCUCCGGGGGUAAUCGAGGAGCUCGCGUCUUAUCAGCUAGUUGGUGAGGUAACGGCUCACCAAGGCUACGACGGGUAGCUGGUCUGAGAGGAUGGCCAGCCACAUUGGGACUGCGACACGGCCCAGACUCCUACGGGAGGCAGCAGUGGGGAAUAUUGCGCAAUGGACGAAAGUCUGACGCAGCGACGCCGCGUGUGGGAUGAAGCUCUUCGGGGUGUAAACCACUGUUGCCCGGGACGAAUAUCCUUUUUUGAAAGGAUUGACGGUACCGGGUGAGGAAGCACCGGCUAACUCUGUACCAGCAGCCGCGGUAAUACAGAGGGUGCGAGCGUUGUCCGGAAUCACUGGGCGUAAAGGGCGCGUAGGUGGCUUGUUAAGCGUGUGGUGAAAGCCUGGGGCUCAACCCCAGGUCUGCCGUGCGAACUGGCAAGCUUGAGCGUAGUAGAGGCAGGUGGAAUUUCGGGUGUAGCGGUGGAAUGCGUAGAUAUCCGAAAGAACACCGGUGGCGAAGGCGGCCUGCUGGGCUACUGCUGACACUGACGCGCGACAGCGUGGGGAGCAAACAGGAUUAGAUACCCUGGUAGUCCACGCCGUAAACGAUGGGUACUAGGCGUCUGGGGGAGCGACCCCCUGGGUGCCGGCGCUAACGCAUGAAGUACCCCGCCUGGGGAGUACGGCCGCAAGGCUGAAACUAAAGGAAUUGACGGGGGCCCGCACAAGCGGUGGAGCAUGUGGUUUAAUUCGACGCAACGCGAAGAACCUUACCUGGGUUUGACAUGCUGGAGAAAGCCCUCAGAAACGGGGGCCCCUCUUCGGAGUUCCAGCACAGAUGCUGCAUGGCUGUCGUCAGCUCGUGUCGUGAGAUGUUGGGUUAAGUCCCGCAACGAGCGCAACCCUCAUCCCUAGUUACCAGCGGGUAAAGCCGGGAACUCUAGGGGGACUGCCGGUGCCAAACCGGACGAAGGUGGGGACGACGUCAAGUCAUCAUGGCUCUUACAUCCAGGGCUACACACGUGCUACAAUGGGCCAGACAAAGGGUCGCCAACCCGCGAGGGGGAGCCAAUCCCAUAAACUGGUCCUCAGUUCGGAUUGCAGUCUGCAACUCGACUGCAUGAAGCUGGAAUCGCUAGUAAUCGUGGAUCAGCUACGCCACGGUGAAUACGUUCCCGGGCCUUGUACACACCGCCCGUCACGCCAUGGAAGCUGUGAGUGCCCGAAGUCCGUGCAGGAACCCGCAAGGGGCCGAGCGGCCGAAGGCAAGCGCAGUGACUGGGGCGAAGUCGUAGCAAGGUA
This 1482-nucleotide ribosomal RNA is filed under the name metagenome. RNAcentral describes it as "bacterial SSU rRNA". It matches the Rfam family "Bacterial small subunit ribosomal RNA". The record is from RNAcentral.